Long non-coding RNA from Homalodisca vitripennis (glassy-winged sharpshooter), 221 nucleotides. RefSeq lists it as uncharacterized. The transcript is spliced from 3 exons. The record is from RefSeq and is a predicted model, not a curated record. Lineage: Eukaryota; Metazoa; Arthropoda; Insecta; Hemiptera; Cicadellidae.
UGGCAAUAUCGUAACCAAUGAAGUUCAUCUGAGAUCUGAGGGUAAUUCCUGGACGUCCAGGCAAAGACUACCCUAUCCUGUCUUCUCCCCCCUCCGGAUCAAACUUCUCCUGCCGCUCUGUGGGAUACCAUCGAGGCUACGUGGCUGAUCCUUCCACUGGCUGUCAGGUAUUCUACAUCUGUGUAGGUGAUGGCCCGGGAGAGCCGAUGUUGUGUCCUAAC